Sapajus apella (tufted capuchin) is the source of this 4978-nucleotide long non-coding RNA. RefSeq lists it as uncharacterized. The transcript is spliced from 2 exons. Lineage: Eukaryota; Metazoa; Chordata; Mammalia; Primates; Cebidae. The record is from RefSeq and is a predicted model, not a curated record.
GAUCUCACCAUUGUACUCCAGCGUGGGCGACAAGAACAAAAUUCCGUCUGAAAACAAAAAGUGAAGUUCUUUAAGCACUAUAUAAUUUUUGUCUUUUAACCUCAGUAAAGACAAAUUUGACUAAACCAACACAGUGCUAAGCCUUGUGCAUGCAGUAUCUUAUUUCUCAUAAAACUCAUAAGUACUCAUGUCAUGUCCUUAUACAAUGAGAAAAGCAAAGGAUUAAGUCAUGUGUUCAAGAUUAUACAGCUAUUAAGUGUCAGAGCUAGGACCUCAUCCCUUUGAGUAUUAUUAUUACUUUUUUCUUAUUAGAGAUUGAUAGAUGACACAGUUUAAUUUUGCUCCUCUUAUCAAGCACAUGGAAUUCUCAACUUUUGGUAGCUACCAUGCAACGUUUACAUUCUUUCUAGAUCCAGAAUUUCGUUUUGAAAUUAGUGGUAGAACUUGCUUUCUAAUGGUGGUGGAACUGAAAAUAACCCAUCCCCUGGACAGAGCAUUUCUUCAGAAGUGUGGUCAGUUUUUUUCUGCUUUUCAUCUAAACUGUUUGAAGGAGUAGUGAUGUCUUAACUCCACUUCUUUACUUAACAGACUGCCUCCCCCACCUUAUAGCAGUUUGUCUUGCAUGGCAUGUAAUGGGAUGUUGACUAGAUGAUCAGUAACUUCUAGGCUGUCAAAUCUAAUGGCCAUUAUUAAUGAUCAUCUCUUGGGCCUAUGUUUUGCAUUUCAUCCUGAUAAUUUAUUUUCGGAAGUUCUGUCUCUUAACUUCUAAGACAUAUAGCACUGUCUUAAUUUUCCUCAAAUUCCUCUGACCACUCCUUUUCUUUCUUCUUUUUGGUUUUUCUUUUUUCUUUCUUUUUCUUAAACCUACCCCUUAUAUGUUGGUGUUCUUCUUGGUUCUAUCCUGCGCUGCCAUUGCUCUAACUGUAUUCUCUUCCUGCAUGAUCUUAUUUACUCCUGUUAUAAUUAUAACUUAAGUACUGGUAGAUCCCAAAUUUGUGUCUCUAGAUGUAUUUUUGAGUUUCAGGCCAGAUGUCUGGCAGUUCGCUGAAUACCUCUACCUAGGUGUCUCACAAUAUCUCAAACUUGAGAUCCCAAAUAGAAUUCAUCAUCAUAUCCUUUGAGUUCUCCUCUUCCAGGGUUGGUAGUGCUUGGUGUUGCCCUCUACCAUCAACUAAUUACCAGGUCCUGCUUCUUUUACUUCUUAAAUAUUGGACACAUAGGAUCUCCCUCUGUGUGACUGCAACUCUUUUCUCUAAUUCAGAUCCUACUUACCUUGUACUGUACUAUAUCACCUUUUCGCUUUUCUUUCCUGUAGCUUCACAGCCCCUAAAUCCUUCAUCCAUAAAGUUGGGUAUGUGAUUGAAACUUGAACCCAAAUCUGGCUAUGCUUCUCCUCAGUGUAAACCUGUUUAUGAAGUCUCUGACACCAACAGGAUCCACUGUGAGUGUUUUAAUACUGCAUGUUUGGCUCUCCUUGAACUAGCCCUUCCCUUUCUUUCUAGCCAUGUCUCUGGGCAUUUUAGUAUCCCACAGCACUGUUCUAUUCAUUGGUAUCUACCAUACUCUUUCUCACCCUGUCAUAUUUUUGCUUAUAAUGUCCUUAUGCCUAGAAUUCCUUUUUUCUCUUCCUCUAGCUAACCUGAACUAUCCCAGGUUUAUUUCUUCUUGAGUCUGUAUUAAGUACUUCACUCCUUGAGUUCCCCUUUUGUAGCAUUUCUUUCUAACUUGGAUUCACUAGAACUGUAGUAGACCCUCCUGCACUUUCAAAGUUGAAUGAUGCUUAUUCUGAGUCUCUUCCACAUUCCAUAUUUGUAAGGGGUUUCAGAGUCUUCAGCAGAAAUGAAAAUAUAUCUGCAAUAGUUUCUAAUUUAGAGAUUAAGUCUCUAAAAUAAUACCAUUUACUCACCAAAGUAGUAUUUCUAACAUCCAGGGCUUAGAAUAGUCUACAUCCACAGUUUGCCACCCACUGUGAACUUUAGUGCAAGUUAGAGAUAAUUUGAAGAACACUACAGAGAGAAGAGGAGCAAAGCUUCUUGUCUUUUGCCUCUUUGGGAUGCUAUUUAUAUAUGCUAGCUGUCCAAAGUUCGGAAAGUGUGAGGUUUUGACGAAGUUGGGAUAAAUCACCCGUCAAUAGAUAGUUGUGAUGCCACAUUUCUAAUGUUAAAAGGAAAUGAAACGGAAUACCUUUCAGAAACAUUUCUUCUGUCUUCCAGAAUAAAAUACACCAUUCUCAUGGUGGUACCUGCAGAACUCAGAUGUUUCCCAGGAUGCAGUGUGUCCCUAUAGUGCUCCUUAUUCUGAAUAUUUAAAAACAUCAAGUUUUACUUUCUACUUAACCCCUACAUUAUUGACAUACCAAAGAAGAAUAAUUGAACAUGAGAUUCAGGAACACAGUAUACUUUUCUGAGCAUUUUCUUAGAAAAACAUUCUCCCUACUUUCAGAACAGAUAUUUCUGUAGGAAAAAUUUGUUCCCUCUGUAUUUCUGCAUCCCAGCAUGACUCCAAAGACAGACUUUUCCUUUCCUGCUACCAUUUCCUGUCUUCAGGCCCAUUGGCCUGUGAGGCUUUUCUUCCAGGGCACAUUCCCUCUUAAUUCUCUCAUUUAAGCUGAAAAAUACACUUUGACAGUUUUCUGAACUGAAGUUUUAUUGAUGGUGUUGCUAAUGCCUUUGUCUUUGAGGACUAAAUGAGACUCAAAGGUCUGCUGACAUGUGCCCAUCUCUAAACCUUCUUUUAGCUCUUGAAAACACUGCCAUUUUGAUAAUAAUAAAUUUGUUCAGAUGAAUUCCUCAGGGCUUGAGUGACUUGAGAGUUACUAGUAGGAAAAUUCAUUUUUGCUACCACUUAUGCUGCCAUAUGAGUUGGCUUGACUGUCGCCUUUUCUCUUCAGUAUUUUGCCUCUCCCAAGUCCUGCUGUUUUUCAACUUAAACCUGAUUCUUAGGUUGGUUGACUCCCUUGACCAUAUAUAGGUAGAAUAAAGCUGUAGCCAUGAUUCCCCUUUGUUCUUUCUGUUUUCUAUAGUUACGUUUUGUUUUCUUUUUACCAUGUAUUAAAACUGGUUAGUUAAACUGAUAAUAUUUGUCCCUGAGUUUCUGAAAUACUAUUCCCAAAACCUGAGAAGCAAAUUUGGUUUGCAUAUCAAAUUCUAAUUACUUCUCACCCACUCUGACUGUCAUUUUCCUUCUGCGUCUGAGUAAAUCUUGUUCCUAGAACCAGCACUCUCUAGAUAGUGACCUUUAAUGUUUCCUUUUAAUGCCUUAGUUUUUGAGUUUGUAGUAUUUUUGCAGUUUUUUCUCAUCAACCCAAGAAGAUGAAACAUCUUCACAUAGCCAGAACCUCUUUUUACUUUACUGUUCAUUGGCAAGCUUCAUCAUGCCUAGUUAGCUCAACUCACACUCACUCUGGGCUUUUCUUGUAUCCAUCGCACGAUUAGAGUUUAUCCAAUUAUAUUACCAGUGUCACAAUGCCCACUGUUCCCACUGAUACCAGCUGUUACAGAGCUUGCUGGUAAAGUUUAAAGUAGAAGCUACUACUUCUCUGGAUAUCUUGAUAACUUAAAACCAGUUAAUGGAGAUUGUAAAGUAGGAUAUGAGAACAUUUUGAUCCUUCUCACUUCAUAUUUUGAUUAGGCUUAGAGUAACUGAUAGGCAAUAAAAAUCACAUAGAUGAAAAUGUAUUUUAUCAAAAGAAAUACAUUUAAUUGUAGGAAAUUUGGCUUAUUAGAUUAAAAAGUCUGUUAUAACCUUAUAGUGAAGAACACGACAUACAGUAUAGUAGAUACUGUCUAGUAGAUAGAUCAGCUUGAAUCCUGCUGAAUGGUGGUGAUUCACAUACUGUUUCAGCGUUUCUAAGGCUUUCAUCCUGAACUGCUUUGCUAGCUUGAGAUAGCACCCACAUUUCCUUAAAAGAAAGGCACUUUAAAUAGUAUUACUCACAAAUUAAUGAAUGUCCAUAUUUAUACUUGAUAAUUACUUUUUUGCUUUUAUCCUCAAAUGUACAAAUUGUAUCUAAACCAAUGGUAGGGAGGACAGGCAUGAUUCAAGUUGGGGCUUGGCCUCAAACCCCAAGUAGAGAAUUCUAGUGAACUAGACUGGACCAUAUGGGAGACCAUUUUUGUUUUGUUUUUGUUCUUUUAUUUUUUGACUUUUUAUUUUUGUAAGCAAAUAAACCAUAUUGACUCAGAACCAAAAAAGGCAGAAACACCUAGUGUCCGAAUGUUAAGCCCAAGACUUAAGUCCAUGAUCUUACACUCUGCUGUAGACCUGUGUAUUUCCUUCAGUAAGAAGAACCUGAAUUAGUUGAGAUAGGCUUUUAAUGCCCAGAGUGGAGCUGGCCUGGGUGGCCUUUUCUGACUGUUGUGCUGGGCUUUGAGAGGGUGGUAGAUCAAUCAAGGCUCCAGACCCUUUUUAUCUCAUUGAAUGGUAGCAAAGAGAAUAUACCAUGUCAUAUUUAUGUACCUUUGGCAUUUUCACAAUGUGAACUUUUCUAUUACCACCCAUUACGAUGUGAUUCAUAACAAACCACAAGGUAGAUGAAGUCCUAGAGAAUGAAAAAUUCAGUGUACACCCUUAUCUGCCUGAAGAAAUAAGCAGAGGAUAGACAGGAGUCAAGCACUCCAUCUUUCUUAGGUGGCAACAGUACCCUGUACAUGUUUCUGCCAUGAUCUUGCCUUACAUUGAAAAGGGGGGAAAUGCUGCACGUUUCCGUUGUAGAAAGCUACCUAUCAUAGUUCAGAUUUUACCAUUGUUAAAUUAUCUUUUUUAAAAACCGAUUUUGUUUUAUAUUUUAACGGCAUGUGUUAAAUAUGCCUCUAAGUGGAAUCCUUUCACAUUUCUGUGCAUAUGUUUGUACUCUCUUAGUUUGCUACUAAGUAUGAUAUAUUGGGAUGGUAUUUGCAUGAAGAAGGGUGGGACUACAAACAAGCAAAUAAAUAAACACAUGUAUUCCCUUCUCUUAAAGAGAUUGCAAUCUUGGAAU